CACGGAGUUAGCCGAUGCUUAUUCAUAAGGUACGGGCAUCUGACUACACGUAGUCAUUAUUCUUCCCUUAUAAAAGAGGUUUACAACCCAUAGGGCAGUCUUCCCUCACGCGACUUGGCUGGUUCAGGCCUGCGCCCAUUGACCAAUAUUCCUCACUGCUGCCUCCCGUAGGAGUUUGGACCGUGUCUCAGUUCCAAUGUGGGGGACCUUCCUCUCAGAACCCCUACCUAUCAUUGCCUUGGUGGGCCGUUACCCCCCAACUAGCUAAUAGGACGCAUGCCCAUCUGAUACCUCGAAUGAUUUAAUUAUUAAAAGAUGCCUUCAAAUAAUAUUAUGGGGUGUUAAUCCACGUUUCCAUGGGCUAUCCCCCUGUAUCAGCCAGGUUGCAUACGCGUUACUCACCCGUGCGCCGGUCGCCAUCAAGGUAUUGCUACCUCAUGAUGCCCCUGACUUGCAUGUGUUAAGCCUGUCGCUAGCGUUCAUCCUGAGCCAGGAUCUAAA
Molecule: ribosomal RNA, 501 nt
Filed under: uncultured Odoribacter sp.
Lineage: Bacteria; Pseudomonadati; Bacteroidota; Bacteroidia; Bacteroidales; Odoribacteraceae
Description: partial 16S ribosomal RNA
Source: RNAcentral